RNAcentral lists this ribosomal RNA (253 nucleotides) under uncultured bacterium. Its description in RNAcentral is "partial 16S ribosomal RNA". It matches the Rfam family "Bacterial small subunit ribosomal RNA", at positions 1251 to 1500 of the family's 1533-position model. The record is from RNAcentral.
GAGACGGUGACGUUUCAGCAAAUACCCAAAAAUAAACGUCCCAGUUCGGAUUGUAGUCUGCAACUCGACUACAUGAAGCUGGAAUCGCUAGUAAUCGCGAAUCAGAAUGUCGCGGUGAAUACGUUCCCGGGUCUUGUACACACCGCCCGUCACACCAUGGGAGUCGGAAAUGCCCGAAGUCAGUGACCCAACCGAAAGGAGGGAGCUGCCGAAGGUGGAGCCGGUAACUGGGGUGAAGUCGUAACAAGGUAUC